GACGAACCCUGGCGGCGUGCCUAAUACAUGCAAGUCGAACGCUUCUUUCCUCCCGAGUGCUUGCACUCAAUUGGAAAGAGGAGUGGCGGACGGGUGAGUAACACGUGGGUAACCUACCCAUCAGAGGGGGAUAACACUUGGAAACAGGUGCUAAUACCGCAUAACAGUUUAUGCCGCAUGGCAUAAGAGUGAAAGGCGCUUUCGGGUGUCGCUGAUGGAUGGACCCGCGGUGCAUUAGCUAGUUGGUGAGGUAACGGCUCACCAAGGCCACGAUGCAUAGCCGACCUGAGAGGGUGAUCGGCCACACUGGGACUGAGACACGGCCCAGACUCCUACGGGAGGCAGCAGUAGGGAAUCUUCGGCAAUGGACGAAAGUCUGACCGAGCAACGCCGCGUGAGUGAAGAAGGUUUUCGGAUCGUAAAACUCUGUUGUUAGAGAAGAACAAGGACGUUAGUAACUGAACGUCCCCUGACGGUAUCUAACCAGAAAGCCACGGCUAACUACGUG
This 508-nucleotide ribosomal RNA is filed under the name uncultured bacterium. RNAcentral's name for it is "partial 16S ribosomal RNA". It matches the Rfam family "Bacterial small subunit ribosomal RNA", at positions 28 to 507 of the family's 1533-position model. The record is from RNAcentral.